UGUACUUUGGUGUAUGAAGCACGUGGAUUUUUGAUGUCUUAGGGAAUAGUUUAAAUCUAUUAAGUACAA
Molecule: transfer RNA, 69 nt
Filed under: Hexacentrus japonicus
Lineage: Eukaryota; Metazoa; Arthropoda; Insecta; Orthoptera; Tettigoniidae
Also listed under: 1 other name
Description: tRNA-Gln
Source: RNAcentral